Molecule: non-coding RNA, 3331 nt
Organism: Vicugna pacos (alpaca)
Lineage: Eukaryota; Metazoa; Chordata; Mammalia; Artiodactyla; Camelidae
Source: RefSeq, a predicted model, not a curated record
GCUAAUUUUUUUAACCUUAUUUCUUAAAUGUUCUUGAUUCUGAAAUAAUUUGAUGGGUCACUUACUCAAAGAGUGUACAGUAUAAGUUUAUUGUUUUGUGGGCUUGGAUUUGUAUUCCCAGCCUUGCCAGUUAGCAGCUGGGUGACAUUGGAAAAUUAAUGCCUCUAAGCCUGUUUCCUCUUCUCUAAAAUGAGACCGCGGGAUGAUCAGCUGCAAUAACAUAUAGUGCCUGGUAUAUUGCUGAGAUUCAACAAGCAGUGCCAGCUGUGUGGUUCUCAUUAUGUGCAUCAACCUCUAUUAAUAGUACAGAUUAUGUGAAAGAACAUGAAGGCAUGCAUAUAAAUUCCUAUUGGCUGUAACCUGUUAAAUUUACCUAGUAUUUCAAAAAUACACUUGAAAAAUAUUCAAUCAGUAUAUGAACUUAGUUUAAAAAUUGAAAAGAUCAGUGGUUUUUUGUUUGUUUGUUUGUUUGUUUACCAUUUGUCUUCUGGGAUUAAGCAGGCUUGGUUUAGGUGAUAUGUUGUCAAAGAUUAUCUUUUUCAUUAAUAUGACUCAAGAAGUUCCUUGUGCUUUAUUGUCUUUUAAAAGUUGAUGACUAUAAAGUGAGGGCCAGAUCUAGCCUUUUGCUUGUUUUCAUCUGUCUCAUGGGCCGGUGCUGUUUUGUGCUGUGGCUGUGUGACUGGCACAGUCACUGGAUGUGACAGAAUUCUACACAUUGGGACCCUUGCCACUGCACAAUAGAAUUUGACACUUCUCAACUUAUCUGCCCAUGGUAGAGAAGCUGAUGAAGCCUAUCAGAAUAGAUUCCUUUAGGGUUGAUGGUUUUGAUUUACAACCUGUCAGACAAGUUUUUGAGCCCCUCCUUGAACCCCAAGCUCAUCAUGAAAUCCACAUGCAGUGAUUUCCUGGCCUUGUUUGUAUUGAGUGUGCUAGUUGAAAGUGAUGUGCUGUAGCUUACCCUAAACCCUGUCUACUUACCACUAAGUCUAGCAUUCUUCCCCGAUCUGUGGUGCUAGUUAGUGUUUUUAUGGGGCUGAUUGGGCUCCCUUAUCACUGCUGUUUGGGGCUGGCUAUACUUGUAUCAUUGAAGGGAUUUUUCUACACAUUUUGUGUCUUUGUUGGCAUAACUGACACAAUUUUAAUAAUGUGAAUUCUAAAUAGAGAUGUUUACAUUUGUGUUUAAAAGCUGAAAACAAGUAUACUUACAUUAAAAGUAUAGCAAUAAUUAUAGGAAUGUCAGUAGUAGAAAGUUGAGUAUACAUAUCCAAAACCUCUUUAGUAAACCAUAGGAUAAGUAAUCCUAACUGCUGCAACAAAUAAUCCUUAAAUUUUUAGUAGUUUAACAUCAUCAAUUACUUAUGUCUUGCUCACAUCAUAAUUCCAAGUGUCUCUGGAGUUGGGGGUGGGACUCUGCUCCACAUAGUCAUUUAGGGACCCAGGUGACUUUCUGUCUUCAGCACAUGGUUUUGAGGUCCUCCUGGACUCAUCAGUCAAUAAGGAAAGGAAAUAGAUGGUUAGCACGCUUCCUUUUAACUGCCUAAUCACAGGAGUGUUACCUCCCUUCAGCCCACAUUGUGUUGGUAAGAACCAGCACAUCCAGCUAAACUAGGUUCAAGAGGGCUAGGAAGUGUGGUUUGCUCAUAUGCCCAGAAAGAAAUGUAAACACAUUUGGUAGGUGUCUAGCCAGUCUCUACCAGAAACUUCCCUUCUAACAGCCAAAUAUCCAUUCCACUCUUCAUUGAACAAAGACCUACUCAGCCCCUCCCCAAAGCAAACAACCCAGAGUCCCAUUCAGAAAGGUAUCCACCUGGAAGGCCAGGAUUUCCAGCUGAAGCACAGUUCUCUUUGUCAGGUUUCAGUGUAGCUCCUCAUUGUCUACUAAUCAGUGAGUUAAAAGGUAAGUUUUGUCCUUCCUUCCCCAUCCCAAUAUGGUGGUGAGACUAAGACUACUCCUGUUCAGAAAGGAGAAGAAUGAGGAAGCUACAGCAAUCAGCAGUGCAGCUUUGAGAUCCACUGAAAGGCCUUAUGAAGACCCCCUACCUUCAAGUUGGGCAUUUCUCCCUUAAUUAGGCCAUUAUUCUGCUCUUAAGGAGGAACUACUUAAUAAAUGUAUUGUUCCGUGUAGCUCCUGGUUCCAGUGGUCUUGUGUUUCUUCACCACUGGCUUCAAGUGAAGUGGGUAACGGGAGGAGGGGGCACCCAUCUUUGAGAAUGCACUCUUUUCUCCGCCUGCUUUCUGCCUGCAGGUAGGUGGUUCUGAGGCUGCCAGACAAGUCUCUAGCCUUUUUUUUUUAAGCAGAGUUGUGGUUUCUUUGUCAUCUUUGUCAUUACAGCUCCUUCAGAAAGUUUUUUAGGCUUCUGAUCAAUUUGGUUCCAGUCAGUCCCAUGUGCUAGUAACUACAUUUAAAGAAAAUUAGGGUUUUUUUUUUCUCAGUUUAGUUGCAGCUGUCUGGUUAUUAUGAGGAGCAAUAAUCUUGUUUGAAGAUGGCACCUCUAAUGUGAUAUUUGCCAAGGAACUGAAUCACUCUUCAACAAAGAAUUCUCAUGAAAUCUUGCUUUUUCACAGCAUUUUUCAGUGCUGAAUCUUACUGUUUGAGUCCAGAUGCAGAGAGUGAACCUAAGAGGCUCUGAGUUUCUCGACUCUGUUCCCUUGGAUUCCUUCUUUAAAGACCAGCCCAUUCUGUCUUGAGCUCAUCUUUUUCCCGUAGUAUCUUGUCAGCAAUAGCCAGUAGUAGCUGGCACUUAAACACUUCCUGUCCUCUCCUGCCAUUCUCAGACUCUGCUGAGGGCACCAGGCUCAAGAGCCACAGAAAUGAUUUCAUUUAAAAAUCCUAGUGAUUUUAAGAUUUUCCUAUACCAUGAUGAAAUUCAUGCAUUUUAAUAUUUAUAUUCUAUGCUUGAUUGAUAUAAAUUAUGGUUGCUUCUGUAGUUUCUACUGGAAAUGUAUGAAAUGUUUUUCCUGCCUCAAGUGUAUGUUGAUGUUAUAAUAUGGAUAACAGAUACUACAAAAGGACCAUUUAGAAAUUCAUUUUUUAUUUUUCUUCAACAAAAGCGAUCUGUCUUGUUUGGUUUGGCUUUACUAUGAAGUAGUUCUUUGAGUAAACCACGAAAUCCCUUAUAUUAUACUGUAUUAAAAUUCUUAUCUGAAAUUUAAAACAAUUAUGUGACACCAUGUGAGUAUACUCUGUUAAACAGAAUUGUAAUAUGUUUAACAUUAAUGACCUAAUUUAAGAGUUACAUGUAUUAAAUAUAUUUAAUAGUAUUAUAUGUUAAUAAUAUAAAUGUUUCAAUGUAUAUCAUGUAUAUACAUAUAUAUUAAUAAAACUAAUAUU